This 468-nucleotide ribosomal RNA is filed under the name uncultured bacterium. RNAcentral's name for it is "partial 16S ribosomal RNA". It matches the Rfam family "Bacterial small subunit ribosomal RNA", at positions 28 to 507 of the family's 1533-position model. The record is from RNAcentral.
GACGAACGCUGGCGGCAUGCUUAACACAUGCAAGUCGAACGGAAAGGCCCUGCUUUUGUGGGGUGCUCGAGUGGCGAACGGGUGAGUAACACGUGAGUAACCUGCCCUUGACUUUGGGAUAACUUCAGGAAACUGGGGCUAAUACCGGAUAGGAGCUCCCGCUGCAUGGUGGGGGUUGGAAAGUUUCGGCGGUUGGGGAUGGACUCGCGGCUUAUCAGCUUGUUGGUGGGGUAGUGGCUUACCAAGGCUUUGACGGGUAGCCGGCCUGAGAGGGUGACCGGCCACAUUGGGACUGAGAUACGGCCCAGACUCCUACGGGAGGCAGCAGUGGGGAAUAUUGCACAAUGGGCGGAAGCCUGAUGCAGCAACGCCGCGUGCGGGAUGACGGCCUUCGGGUUGUAAACCGCUUUCGCCUGUGACGAAGCGUGAGUGACGGUAAUGGGUAAAGAAGCACCGGCUAACUACGUG